Molecule: transfer RNA, 84 nt
Filed under: Luteolibacter sp.
Lineage: Bacteria; Pseudomonadati; Verrucomicrobiota; Verrucomicrobiia; Verrucomicrobiales; Verrucomicrobiaceae
Also listed under: 2 other names
Description: tRNA-Leu
Rfam family: tRNA
About the family: Transfer RNA (tRNA) molecules are approximately 80 nucleotides in length. Their secondary structure includes four short double-helical elements and three loops (D, anti-codon, and T loops). Further hydrogen bonds mediate the characteristic L-shaped molecular structure. tRNAs have two regions of fundamental functional importance: the anti-codon, which is responsible for specific mRNA codon recognition, and the 3' end, to which the tRNAs corresponding amino acid is attached (by aminoacyl-tRNA synthetases). tRNAs cope with the degeneracy of the genetic code in two manners: having more than one tRNA (with a specific anti-codon) for a particular amino acid; and 'wobble' base-pairing, i.e. permitting non-standard base-pairing at the 3rd anti-codon position.
Source: RNAcentral
GCUCGGAUGGCGGAAUUGGUAGACGCGCUAGAUUCAGGUUCUAGUGGGGGCAACCCCGUGGAGGUUCGAGUCCUCUUUCGAGCA